Molecule: ribosomal RNA, 171 nt
Filed under: Xenocephalus elongatus (bulldog stargazer)
Lineage: Eukaryota; Metazoa; Chordata; Actinopteri; Uranoscopiformes; Uranoscopidae
Description: partial 12S ribosomal RNA
Source: RNAcentral
CACCGCGGUUAGACGAGAGGCUCAAGCUGACAGACUACGGCGUAAAGAGUGGUUAAGGGUAAUUAUUAAUAAAGCCGAAAGCCCUCAAUGCUGUUAUACGCAUGCCGAGAAUAAGAAGCUCAAUCACGAAAGUGGCUUUACCUCCCCCCUGAUUCCACGUAAGCCAGGGCA